Long non-coding RNA from Colius striatus (speckled mousebird), 136 nucleotides. RefSeq lists it as uncharacterized. The transcript is spliced from 3 exons. The record is from RefSeq and is a predicted model, not a curated record. NCBI's taxonomy places the organism in Eukaryota, Metazoa, Chordata, Aves, Coliiformes, Coliidae.
CUGCCCCGUGCUUUUGGUGGUCGGUGAGAACUCCCCUGACGAGGACACCGUGGUGGAGUGUAUUGUCAAGCUCGACCCGACCCAAACUUCCUUCCUCAAGAUGGCAGACAGGGGCGGCCAACCCCAACUCACCCAG